This 465-nucleotide ribosomal RNA is filed under the name uncultured bacterium. Its description in RNAcentral is "bacterial SSU rRNA". It matches the Rfam family "Bacterial small subunit ribosomal RNA", at positions 338 to 795 of the family's 1533-position model. The record is from RNAcentral.
CCUACGGGGGGCAGCAGUGGGGAAUAUUGGACAAUGGGCGAAAGCCUGAUCCAGCCAUGCCGCGUGUGUGAAGAAGGUCUUAGGAUCGUAAAGCACUUUAAGUUGGGAGGAAGGGUUGUAGAUUAAUACUCUGCAAUUUUGACGUUACCGACAGAAUAAGCACCGGCUAACUCUGUGCCAGCAGCCGCGGUAAUACAGAGGGUGCAAGCGUUAAUCGGAAUUACUGGGCGUAAAGCGCGCGUAGGUGGUUCGUUAAGUUGGAUGUGAAAUCCCCGGGCUCAACCUGGGAACUGCAUUCAAAACUGUCGAGCUAGAGUAUGGUAGAGGGUGGUGGAAUUUCCUGUGUAGCGGUGAAAUGCGUAGAUAUAGGAAGGAACACCAGUGGCGAAGGCGACCACCUGGACUGAUACUGACACUGAGGUGCGAAAGCGUGGGGAGCAAACAGGAUUAGAUACCCGGGUAGUC